This 259-nucleotide ribosomal RNA is filed under the name uncultured bacterium. RNAcentral's name for it is "partial 16S ribosomal RNA". It matches the Rfam family "Bacterial small subunit ribosomal RNA", at positions 95 to 354 of the family's 1533-position model. The record is from RNAcentral.
UUGGCGGACGGGUGAGUAACGCGUGGGUAACCUGCCGUAUACAGGGGGAUAACACUUAGAAAUAGGUGCUAAAACCGCAUAAGCGCACAGCGCCGCAUGGCGCAGUGUGAAAAACUCCGGUGGUAUACGAUGGACCCGCGUCUGAUUAGCCAGUUGGCAGGGUAACGGCCUACCAAAGCGACGAUCAGUAGCCGGCCUGAGAGGGUGGACGGCCACAUUGGGACUGAGACACGGCCCAAACUCCUACGGAAGGCAGCAG